RNAcentral lists this ribosomal RNA (371 nucleotides) under uncultured bacterium. RNAcentral describes it as "bacterial SSU rRNA". It matches the Rfam family "Bacterial small subunit ribosomal RNA", at positions 527 to 896 of the family's 1533-position model. The record is from RNAcentral.
AGAGGGUGCGAGCGUUGUCCGGAAUCACUGGGCGUAAAGGGCGCGUAGGCGGCCUGAUAAGUAGGGGGUGAAAUCCUGUGGCUUAACUGCAGGGCUGCCUCCUAGACUGUCGGGCUCGAGCACGGUAGAGGCAGAUGGAAUUCCCGGUGUAGCGGUGGAAUGCGUAGAGAUCGGGAAGAGCAUCGGUGGCGAAGGCGGUCUGCUGGGCCGUUGCUGACGCUGAGGCGCGACAGCGUGGGGAGCAAACAGGAUUAGAUACCCUGGUAGUCCACGCCGUAAACGAUGGACACUAGGCGUCGGGGGGAGCGACCCUCUCGGUGCCGUCGCUAACGCAGUAAGUGUCCCGCCUGGGGGGUACGGCCGCAAGGCUG